UGAAGGACAGGCAUAAAGCAUGC
RNAcentral lists this non-coding RNA (23 nucleotides) under Rattus norvegicus (Norway rat). Lineage: Eukaryota; Metazoa; Chordata; Mammalia; Rodentia; Muridae. The record is from RNAcentral.